This 245-nucleotide long non-coding RNA is filed under the name Homo sapiens (human). Its description in RNAcentral is "HSALNT0212781". Lineage: Eukaryota; Metazoa; Chordata; Mammalia; Primates; Hominidae. The record is from RNAcentral.
CAAAGACCUGCGAAGCCAGUCUAGGAAGAAUCAUUCAACUAAAGACCACUUUCCCCAAAGUCCCAGCCAUCUUGAGAGAGACAGAGGACCAACUUUUUCGCUGUUCAGAAUUCUGUUUCAAGUGCUAUCAGAAAUACCAGCAAAUUAAAGUACAUCCCAACCACCACUGGUUUCAACCAAAAUAUAGUCAGAGAUAAGCCUGCUGCCAAACCCACAGCCUGGGGCUUCCUACUGAGACUCUCGUA